UUGUCCGGAAUUACUGGGUGUAAAGGGAGCGUAGGCGGGACGGUAAGUCAGGUGUGAAAUAUACGUGCUCAACAUGUAGACUGCACUUGAAACUGCUGUUCUUGAGUGAAGUAGAGGUAAGCGGAAUUCCUAGUGUAGCGGUGAAAUGCGUAGAUAUUAGGAGGAACAUCGGUGGCGAAGGCGGCUUACUGGGCUUUUACUGACGCUGAGGCUCGAAAGCGUGGGGAGCAAACAGGAUUAGAUACCCUGGUAGUCCACGCUGUAAACGAUGAUUACCAGGUGUGGGGGGACUGACCCCUUCCGUGCCGCAGUUAACACAAUAAGUAAUCCUCCUGGGGAGUACGACCGCAAGGUUGAAACUCAA
This 364-nucleotide ribosomal RNA is filed under the name uncultured bacterium. RNAcentral's name for it is "bacterial SSU rRNA". It matches the Rfam family "Bacterial small subunit ribosomal RNA", at positions 541 to 904 of the family's 1533-position model. The record is from RNAcentral.